This 5803-nucleotide long non-coding RNA is filed under the name Ananas comosus (pineapple). RNAcentral's name for it is "long non-coding RNA (ACOM_LNC021422)". Lineage: Eukaryota; Viridiplantae; Streptophyta; Magnoliopsida; Poales; Bromeliaceae. The record is from RNAcentral.
AAUUAUUUACUAGAUUUGAAAUUACAAUAAAACCAUUUAACAUUGUUUACAAAUUUUUUUUACAAAAAAAUUCAGAUUAUCUGAUAAAUUUUAUAAUUAAGGUUGGCGAAGUGCAAAUAUAUUAAAUAACAAAGUGAAUUGACUUUUAUUGAGUUCGGCUGGGUUACUAUCGAUAGCAUGAGUAUUUGGUGCUAUUAAGUUUUCUACCGUUAGAUUUACCUCUUUUAUCAUUUUCAUCCGUUUGAUUAUACUAUUAAACUAACCACCCACUCAACCCUAGAGGGCCCACAUCAUCCUAACUGCACAUCUUUUAAUCCAAGGCCAGAAAACUUAAUAGCACCAAGUCAUUGGUGUUAUGAAUAGUAUUCUAGUCUAGUUCUUUAUUAAGAUUUUAAUAGUAUUUAAAUUGAAUAUUUAUAUCUUUAUCUAAAUUAAUUAUUAGUGAGGGACAGCUUUGAAAGUUUAUAUAUUGUACAUUUCAUCACACUAAAGUGCUCUUUCAAAAAAUUUUAAAAAAUUCAGGAUAAAAUGAAUAUUUUCAUUAAUUCAUGAUAACCUAUCUAAAAUAGAUGUUUGAUUGAGUGACAGAAGUUAACGACGAGGACAUAUUUAUAAGAUAGUAAAUAUUUGUAAGGAUAUUUGUGAUAUAAUCAAAUUUAUAGGAAUAUUUAUGAUAUUUUGAAUGCUUAGAGGGGUAUGAAUGAAAUUAAUCCUUCAUUAGUAACGGUUGAAACAUUUAGGGGCUGUUUGGUUUAUGCAUUUCCAACUGCAUUGCAGUUGGAAAUGCAUGCAUCUAUUAAUUUUUUGUUUGGUUUGGUACAGUUAGACCUAACUGCUGCAGUUGCAUCUGCACGAGAAGGCCCAACUGCAGCAGUUGGUACUGCAGCCAAAUUGGCCGUAGUACCAACUGCAGCAGUUGAGCCGGAGUCGGCUCACCUAUUAAACAAAAAACAAAGUAUGAUUUUUUUUUUCAUACACUUCUUUUUUUUUUUUNGUAAUAUCUGUUAGGGUAAAUAAAUUUUUUUUAUAUGCUUCUUAUUUUUCAGUUUGUUAGUUUAAUAAUAUCUUAAUUUUUAUUUUGAAAAAAAUUAUAACAUAUUUACAUUUAAAAUUUAUUAAAUUCAUAUAUAAUUUUAUAAUAUAUAAAUUAUAUAUAGUAUAAAAGUUUUAAUUAAUAUUUAAAAUAUGAUUACGUUAUGCUCAGAAAAGGUAAUCUCACUUUUCUAUCUAAAAAUUGAUAGAAUUUAUAAAAACAAAUCUUAACUGCAGACUACCAAACCGAAGAAAUGUAACUGCAGCAGUUGCAAUUGUAUAAAACCAAACAGACUAGGUGUAGAUAUAACUGCAGCAUUUACAACUGCAUAUACUUUCAACUACACUGUUUUUAUAACUACAUUCAACCAAAUGGCCCCAUAGAAAGGCAAUUAUAAAAAGAGUAAAAUCAGUAUAUUGAUUGUUGUUACUAUAGAUUUUAACAAAAAUAUGUUUUGAAAGGUAUUUUUGAAAGUUUUCUAUAUUUAGAGGGGCAUUUAAAAUAUUUUAAUUUUUAUAGGGGUAUUUUUAUAACAACGUGCUUUUAGAGGGGCAUAUAGGAAAUUUUUCCUAAAUUAAAGAUGAAAUGUAUGGUAGAUCUACUAGGUUGCCUUAUGCAAGUAAUAAUUUUUAUAAGCAAAAAGUUCAUGCUUUCAUUUUGGUAGUAUGAAAGUAAAUAUUUUUAUUACUUUAUGAACGUAGUAAAUAAUUUACCAAGCACAUUACUUGGUUGGUCUGCGGGUUAAAAAUUUAAAUAAGUUAAAUAAGUUUUACCGUUAGAUAAUUGGUUAAUUUUGUUAUUCGAAAUGUUUGUUAAAAAAAUUUAUUACAAGUGAUUGUCAACAAUCCAUUUAUUCUGUGGAACAAAUUAUUUUGGUCGUUAAAAGAAGUUGUUUAUAAGGAAUUAGGAAAAACUUUGUUUUUCGCUUUAAUGAAAUCAUAUUAUAUAAUAUAAAUUAAUUAAAUGUGAUAUAUUAUUUAUUUAAUUAAGUUUUAUCAAUUUAAAUAAUUAAUAUUUAAUUAUUUUAUUUUAUAUUAAGUUUUAUAUACAUUAAAUUAUUUUUUAUAUUAUAUAUUUCUUUUAAAGUUGCAUUGAAAUUUAUAGGAUUAUAAACUAACUAAAAUUAUAAGUAUGUUGCUAGUAAUAUAUUUAUUCAUUGCAUAUAUUAUGGAUAAAUUACAUAAAAUAAAUUAUUACAUAAAAUAAUUUUUAAUAUAAAAUAUAAAAUAACUUAAUAUUGAUGUAAAUUAAAUUGUUAUAUAAAAUAUUAUAUUAUAAAUUGUUAUAUAAAAUAAUUUUAUAAAUAAUUUUAUAUAAAUUAUGCUGAUAUAAAUUAAUUUUUUUAUUUUUUAAACAUAUUUAGAACGUUAUAAAAUUCGUCUAAACAAUGAUUCUACUUUUAUCCUCUUAUUUUAUUCACAUUCGCUAUAUCUUCUGAUAACAUUUUUUUUAGGUGAGAUAUUUUUUGGAUAAUGAAAUAAGAUAAAAAGAGGAGAAUUUUUUUUUUAAGAACGUGACUUAUUAGAUGAUGGAUAUUUAAAUUGAAAAUAAAAUGUUGGGCUGAUCAAGUAAGUUGCAUUCUGUAAGCAAUAAUUUUUAUAAGCAGAAAAUUCAUAUACUACUUUAGUAUUAAAAUAAUUUUUUUUAUUGUUUUAUCAUGAAAAUAGUAAAUAAUUUAUCAAGCACCUUACUUGGCGGUUCGAGUGUUAAAAAUUUUUAAAAAACUUUACAAACAGGCAGUUAUUUUAUUUUUUGAAAUGUUUCUGAAAAAAACUUAGUACAAGCUAAGAAAUCAUAACAAGUCAUAACAAUAAGAGAAAAAUUUAUUUAUGAGCAUAUUCAAUUACAUAAAAUUUAUGUUUAAAAAAUACAAGAAGAUGACAAUGGUUGCAACUCAUUUUUAAAAUUUAAAUAAUUGCAACCCAUUUUUAAAAUUUAAAAUUUGAAGUCUUCAUUAUAACUAUUUGUAGGAAAAACUCUUUAUUGUAAUAGUUAUAUCAUGCAGGAUACAUUGAAAACCAAUUUUUGUGCAUAUAGGAUGACAAGAGUCUAAUUAAGAAAAAAAUGAUAAAUUUUAUAGUAAAAUAAUGAAUUAAAUCUUUUUCUUUUUUUUACUCAUCUGUAAUAAAUAUUAUUUGAAAAAUGCUACUUCGAUAAGACAAGUGAGUAAAUUGAGACUUUUUAGGCUGCAUUGGUGCAGAAAAUUUUCUGAUAUUAUCUCGAUAAGACAAGUGAGUAAAUCCAGACUUUUUAGGCUGCAUGGAGGAAAUUUCCUGAAUAAGGAAUAUUCCCAACUUGUAUCCAAAUAGUGAAAAAAUUAGACGGAAGAAACUAUUUCAAUAAUUAUUCUGGAGGAUAUUAGAAACAACUUUAUUUUUUUCUUUAUUUUAUUAGAUUAGACAAAUAGAUAUAUAAAUAAAUAUAUUAAUAUAAAUAUUAUCUUUAUAAUAAUGUAUUUUUACUUAAAUCUUAUUAUAUAUUAUAAAUUAAUUAAAUGUGAUAUAUUAUUUAUUUUAUUAAGUUUUAUCAAUUUAUAUAUUAGUAUUUCAUUAUUUUAUUUUAUAUUAAGUAUUAUAUAUAUUAUAUUAUUUUUUAUGUAUUAUAUAUUUCUUUCCAAUUUGUAUUGAAAUUUAUAGUAUUAUAAACUAAUUAAAAUUAUGAGUAUAUUGCUAGUAUUAUAUUUUAUUCAUUACAUAUAUUAUGAAUAAAUUACGUAAAAUAAAUUGUUAUAUAAAAUAAAUUUUAAUAUAAAAUAAUUUAAUAUUUAUAUAAAUUAAAUUGUUACAUAAAAUGUUAUAUUAUAAACCGUUACAUAAAAUAAUUUUUUAAAUAAUUUUAUAUAAACUAUGCCGAUAUAAAUUAAUUUUUUAUUUUUUUAAACAUAUUUAGAAUGUAAUAAUAUCCGUCUAAAUAAUUAUUAUGUUUCUAUCCUCCAUAACAUUUAUGUUUUCUUCAAAUUGGCUAUAUUUUUUGAUGACAUUGCUAUUAAGGUAAAAAUUUUCUUUUUUUUCUUUUAUUUAUGUUUUUUAUUGGCUAAAAAUAUUUGUAUGUUUGUUAGAUUUAGGAUGUUGGAAUAAGAUAAAGUGAGGGGAAAAAAUUUUUAGAACCACUUAAAGUUUACUCGCUUUAUAAUUCACUCUCUGAAUACGGUGCACGAUUCACCACCUGCACUAUAGUGUCAUUGAAAUCGAGUACAAAACCCUUAUUUUCAUUAAUUUGUUAGACGUCUGGUAUUUGUGUGACUGCACAUGAGUCAAAUUUUGAGUGAAAUGAUCAUAGUGUUGGUUCAUUUCUUCAGCUAAGUAAUUAACUUUACUAAUGGAACAUUUUGCCAAUUUUACAGAAAAAAGGGAUUUGUAGCAAAUUGCAACAGAACCAUUGUUUAAUUGAUAAUUUGGAAUACUUUGAAAUUUGUUGGGUGAAUUGCAUGGGCAAAGUUUACAUAGUUAUGAAGCUUUGUCCCCUAGAAUAUGUCUAAUGAGUCUUUUUGGCCAUAUUUUUGCUUUUACGUUUAGCUAUAGUAAUCUCUUAUAAAGUGUUUGCAAACAGAAAAUAUUAAAUCUUUUGCUGUAGUAAGGAAUUGAAAUGAGACUUUGAAGUCUAGAAGCAGAACCUGUCAAUCAAAAGCUUCUAAAUCUACCAUAGAAAGAAACGUUUGCGUGUAUUUUAAUAUACAGUUCUCCAAAUAAAAAAAAAAUCUCAAAAAGAGAUUUUGCUAGAGUUUUAUUUGAAGAAGCAGUAUUAUUUUUCUAUAUUAGAAUAUUUUUAAGAACUCAUUGCGACAAAAGCAGUCCCUGCAAAUAGGAGCGAGAAAGCUUAUUCUUGCUUCCUACUACAGCAAACAAUUUGGGAUAUUUUAUUAGUCAAAUGCCUAUUAUGCUUUUAGCAAUAGAGAAGCUAUUCUACAAAUAGAGGCCUAAUAGGAAAAGAGUCCUAAUUUACUUGACUUUUGUACACAAAAUCUUGACUAAUCACCAAUGAAUCAAUACUAAUUUUGUAGGCAUGCGAAAUCAGACAAUAUAGAAGACUAACAUGAAAUGAUGUAAGGUAUUUGGCCUAUUUGUAAUUUAUGUUGGUCGCAAAUGUUUUAGAUCUUAACCAAAUUGCUAGAAGUGUGAUUAUGCUUUUGAAUAUUUGUAUUGAUGUGAUUAAUUAUUAUGCAUUUAAUCAUGACUUAUCAACAAACCAUUAAAAUUUAUUAUAUCUAACCAAAAGCUAUCCUAUUAUUUGUAAGCUGACUAUACUAAACAACAUGGUAGAAAGUACUGAAAUUGAUCUCAAAUCUCAUACAUUUGAGAAAUAAGAAAAGUGCUUUGUUCUUUUUUUAUAAAUUAACCAUCAUAUGAUAUUUGAAGUAUUGUGGCCUUUAUAUAUACAAAGGUUAAUACAAAAGCUUUUUUGGGAUACAUACAUUUUGGAAACCUCUAUGACUAAUAAAUUAAUAUAUUUCAGCUUAAUCGCUUGAAACUUACAUGACUAAUAAGUUAGGUAAAAAUAGCUAAUAUAAAUAAUAUUCCACAUUUUUCUUUUAUAGAAUCAUUUUCUUUUUUAUGGGUUUCAUUUACACAUAUAAGUAUAUAAAAACUGAAAUACCUUACAUUAUUUUGUAUGUUACUCAAACUUUGUGACACCCCGCUUUUCAAGAAGUCACCAACCCUUAGACUACUCUAAUCUUAGCACGCUUACCUCUCCUAACCUCUUGGGCCUAACCUGUCACGCCCCAAUCAUUGUUAAGAAAUAUAUAGUAAAAAAAAAAUACAAAAUAAAAAA